Molecule: long non-coding RNA, 230 nt
Filed under: Pan troglodytes (chimpanzee)
Lineage: Eukaryota; Metazoa; Chordata; Mammalia; Primates; Hominidae
Description: long non-coding RNA NONPTRT018513
Source: RNAcentral
AUCCUGGUGUACCUGGCCUCCCAGGCCUUAAAGGAGAUGAAGGCAUCCAAGGCCUACGUGGCCCUUCUGGUGUCCCUGGAUUGCCAGCAUUAUCAGGUGUCCCAGGAGCCCUAGGGCCUCAGGGAUUUCCAGGGCUGAAGGGGGACCAAGGAAACCCAGGCCGUACCACAAUUGGAGCAGUUGGCCUCCCUGGCAGAGAUGGUUUGCCAGGCCCACCAGGUCCACCAGGC